Molecule: long non-coding RNA, 6919 nt
Filed under: Erythranthe guttata (spotted monkey flower)
Lineage: Eukaryota; Viridiplantae; Streptophyta; Magnoliopsida; Lamiales; Phrymaceae
Description: long non-coding RNA (EGUT_LNC003093)
Source: RNAcentral
GAGGUUCAAUCUCAAAGGCCUCUAAACAAUUAUUUCUUUGAAGGCCUAACCGCUGAAAUUCGAAUUAUAAGUGACAACUUGUCUUCUUCGCCGGAUUCCGGCCACGACCUUAUUUGCUGGAAAUAGAACACCAUCUCAGCCCCGUAUCUUUCAACCAUGUUGCUAUUAUGAGAUUUCUAGAUUUACUAAUUGAACAUCGGAAGAACAAAGGUUCUAAAGGGUGGUCGGCCGAGAGUUUUCGUAGAGAAAGGAAGAUACCAUGAAUAUUGCUAUUUCUAGAACUAUUAAACGAAUGAGAUAAAGAUUGUGUAAUUGGGAAAAGAGAGAGUCGGCAAUAAGUUGAGAUAGAAGUGAAUAUGAGAUAAACAUAAAAAGAAAGGGAGAAGGAAACCAAUCCACGUAGAUUGGAUUUCCUCAAAUUUGCUUAUAGAACAACUAUUUUAUUUUAAUUGCAAAAAGAGGACAUAAUUGUAGAUAAUUACCAUCAACCUUAAGUUAUAUGAUAAACUCAUAUCUAACAUAUAUCAACUAACUAAAUUCAAAUAUCCUAAUUUUCUAUAAUAAAAUGUUAUCUUCAAACUUAAACAACUUUUACGGGGUGUUACACUCUUCCCUCCUUAAAAGAAUCUGGUCCCCAGAUUCUCAACUAUUAUUCGAACAUGGAAAUACAAUUUCCUAAAAUUAUCUUCUUGCUCAUCCAUCGCUUCGUCAGCUUCGUGGUUUCUCCAUAAUACCUUCAAGUCUUGUGAUUGAGGAAUUCGUUAUCAAGAGGAAUACGGUUAUGCGGGUAGUCUAUAGGAGGUUGGUUCCGAAAUAGGGAUCAAUCCCUAUUUAUAUGAUAAGUUAUUCCCAAGCUACGGUUGCUUCAAGGAAGAAUAUCUGAGAUUGAUCGAAAUAGUGUUAACUUAGUCCUUCAAACCUCUACGAAUUAUUUCCAUGACAAUCUGUAACUUCCCAAACUUAGAAUUGACUUGGAUAACGAGUCAAACUAUUAUCGUAACGAAUUCAUAAACACUACUUCAAAUACAUAUGAGCUUGUAAUAGGAAGUACUGCUCAUGGAACCUUAAUACCCGACUUCAUUAGAAAUAUCAUCCAAUUCAUCGGUCUCAUACUCGAUGUAGCCUUAUAGUUGAGCAAGAUGCUAAAUAUUUAUAAUGUUCUAGAAGUUGAAGGCCGAGAUAUAGUUCGUCAACCAAUUAAUGGGACUUGUGAGGUACAUCAACCUGUAAGAAACAAUCUAGUUAGGGUUGUAGCUAGGAGUGCUAUAAAUGGUCUGAUGAGAGGAAUGAAAGGGAUUAAUAAGGGUUUGAUAUCGUUCGAAUCUUUAAAUCUCUCCCUACUUAUCCGUGUCAGAUUCUUCAAGAGAACGUGUUUCUUCUCCUCCGUUUCGCUCGAGCCUUUGUGGUAACUAGAACUACAUAUCUACUUCCACAUCUCCAUAACUCUUUUGACAAUCUCGUGUAGGCUUUAAUCUUUAUUUGAUAAGUCGAACUUUACCGAUAGCAUUCCCUAUGAUCUCCAAUCACCACCCCUUGUGUUUGCUAUCGUUGGUUAUUCGCCGCUCAUCUAGUCUGGAAUUGCAAGGUUGAUUGACACUUUAUUCAAUGAACUACUGCGAAAAUGUUUGUAUUGUCGCUUGCUUGAUAGCUGUCCUAUGUCAUCACGAUAAUUCGCGUUAUGCGUUCACAAGGUUCCUUCAAUGUUUUCAGUCAUCCACUCACACGAGAGUUAGUUUUGAGAACGUUUCUCGUACCGAGCUGAGAUUUUGUCCCAUAUUGCGGAUAGUUGCUUCCAUAACAACGAGAUGAUGUAUAAUCUAUGUCAAGAUAAUGUGAGUUAGCUACAAGAGAUAGAUUUCGGAUCUAAAUUAUCUUCAGGAGAGUGAAGAGGCAACUACUUUCCCGGUCCACAAAAAAUUCUCUUCUCAUUGGUCUACACUAAGUGAAAUUGAAUGCACUACAAUUACAAUCAAAGAGGACGGCGAAGCCUGAUUUACUUAUGGUAUCAACAUUGGACAUUAGAAGAGCUUGAUUAUAGAUGGCGUUCGCAAAGAAAAGGUUUUCAAAUAGUAGGUCGACCAGGCAACGGUUGAUGGAAGAGACUUUUACUUCUAAAGUCAAGAGUACUUGAAGGUGGCAACGGUUGAUACAAUUUUCCCGUGGUUUCGCAACCGCAUGCCUAAUAAAUACUUAUCGUAGAGAAGUCAAGACUCAGAAUAUCUGACAAUUGAGUAGCCUUAAUUCAUUCAAUUCACUACUAUUUCAAGAUAGGUCAACUAGUCUAAUGUCAUUCUUCGACACUAAGUACGCUCUAAUCACGUCCGAAACAGUAUACACACUAUGUCUAGUAAUGUCCAUGGUGAAUUACUUCAACCAAACGACAUGACGGGCAAAACUUAUUUAUAGCAAGUUUAACAUGCAAGCCGAAUUCUUGCAGUUGUCGUUCCCAUCUUACAAAGAAAAGUACAAUCCUCUACGGUGUUAUUGACAAAGGUGUUGUACUUUAAACUUCUUCUCCACAUAGCACUUAGCUCUUCAUAUUAGUCGAAUAGAAUUGCAAAAACUGAUAAUCCAAUGUCAAGAUAUAGCUGACUUAUGGGACACUAGGGACUCUAGAGGUGGCUCAUGCAAGAUUAAGAGGUGUCUCCCGUUGUGUAGCACUUUGCCCUACAUAGAACUUAGCUCCCUGUACCCUGACGAUUAGAAUCAAGAAUUCAAAACGUUCAAGAUACCUUAAGAGUCAACAACUCUAUAAACUUUCUAAGUCGUGAUAACUACAUAACCUUUUUCGUCGAGUAAGAUAAUCGUCGAAACUAUACCAGGUCGAAUCCAUAAGAUGAUAUAACAAUAGAUGCAUACAACCGUAGUCAUAUUACACGACAUUGCCCAAACAAGGUCCAUACUUUUACCCUGAAUUAACAAUAAUCAUGGCCUAUGAGUGAGAGGGAACAACAGGAACCGAUAUGAAGAAGUCGAAUCACAAGGUUUCAAAGGAAUAAGAAACCUCAUAGAAAAGAAGUCGAAUCACAAGGUUUCAAAGGGAUAAGAAAACUCACAGAAUAGGCUAUCCGAAUAGGCUAUCCCAAAUCAAGAAGUAUUAAAUGAGAUGAGGAAUCUCAAAAGGAACGUAACAAGAAUAUGGAAGCAUUCAAACAAGAUCAAACACCUCACUCAUGAUCAAUAAUGGGAAGGAAGUAAGAUAGUCAAGCAAUAUUGUAUUCAAAGAAUCAGAAACCUGAAAAAGUAGGUAACCGAGAUGCCGAAGUAUUGAAAUGAGAUAAGGAGUUUUGAAAUGAGAUAUGGGAUUUCCACUGUGAUCAAUAAUAACAAUGGAACAAUGCAUAUACAAGAAUCGAAUUUUGAGGCCAAAAUAAGAAGAACCUCAAAAUAGGUAGAAAGAUUGACCCGAUAUCAGAAUCAUAACAAUGGUAUAGCCAAAUCAAACGAGAAUAGGGACCUCAAAGGUACUUGAACAAAAUCACGAGAUAUUCAAGGAAAUUGGAACACUGAAAAAUGUAGAAGUAUAGAUUAAGUAAAGCAAUAUUCGAGGAAAUAAAAAGUCUCGACAAAUAGAUUAGCCGAAACUAUAGAGUGUUCAAAGAGAUACAAAACCUCACAAUCAGGUAGAUGAUCAAAGCAGAUGGUAAUAGAAUAAAGUAAGAAGCCUCACAAGAACAUGGCCAAAGUCAUGACGUAUUCAAAAUAAUUGGAACACUAAAGAUGAAGUGAACUGAAUAAGAAGUCUCGGUAAAUAGAUAAGCCGAAACCAUAGAAUAUUUAAAAAAAGGAUAGAAGGUGGAGAUGGUAGCACAAUAAGGUAAGGGGCUUCAAAACAAGGGAUAAUUCAAACCAUGUGGAAUUUGAAGGGGUACGAAACCUCACAACAUUGGUAACCAAAACUAUGAGGUAUUAAAAUGAGAUAAGAAAAUCUAUUACGAUCCACAAAUGAAAUUAGACAGUAUAGGCCAACGAAGCAAAAUUGAAUUCAUUGGAAUGAUAAGGAGUGAACAAAAGAACUCCCGAAUAUUUGGUUCACCGUAAUUCAAUACUCAAAACGAGAUAAUAUGGUUUCGAUAAGGAAGUCAAGUUAUGAAGUAAAAUGGAAUGGGACGUCUACAAGAAAAGGUGUUACCAAAUUCAAGUGAAACUAGGAAAAUCACUCGAGAUAAACAACAUCGGAGAAUUGGAAGCCAACUGAAGUAACCAAAAGAACCAAGAAUCUCAAACUGCGUCUCAGGUUGUGUAUGAUAGAUAUUUCUACGGGGUAUUCCUACUAUUUAUAUCAGUAAUAGACGCUAAAGAAUUAUCUCAAUGCCUUUAAUACUCGAUUACUACCAAUCUUCUCAAUUUCCCAAGAUUCAAUUCAUAGCUCUACAAUUCUCAAAGAUCCAUUUCCAUCACCGCCCGGGCAUCCAACCUAAGGCUUUACCAACCCAAAGCUUUACCAACCCAAAGCUUUACCAACCCAAAGCUCUGAUACCACCUGUAGCGCCCCGCCCCGAGUCGCAGACACCUCGUGGCGGAACACCACUCAACAUGCAGUACAUUCAACGACCCCAAAUAUGCUCCUCAAAAUUGCAAUGAUCAAAACAUCAAACCCCUAAUAUCUAUCCCAUCGUGUUUACAAAAGGAGGUUCUAUUACAAGUCGACUUCGACACUACUUACUCAAUUACAAAAUUCUCGAUCAAAGGAUUCCUAUACGGAACAUAAAUAGAGAUACCUCUCGACGAGACUAAUCGGAGGCAUACACGAGCUUUAACUCUUAGUACGAAAAUUUAGGUAUAAAUCUUUCUUUUACCUGCGCAUUAAUAUCAGAAAGGAGAAACGAAUAAGUCCGAAUGACUUAGUGAAAAACAUAUGAUCCAUGAGUAUGAUGAGAAUCAAGUGAACAGCACAUAUAACGAGAGACUUUACAAGAAUUUCAUUAACAGAAGUGUAACAUGUACAAGAGUGUAACAUGUACGGCUUGAGAUCAAUAUUUGGUGGGGUCUCCAACCUUGUAACUCCCAACAAAUAAAAUCAUAUCACAUCCUUAUCCCUCCAAUCCGUCCCGAGUGGCCACUCGGUCGGAAACAGGCAAGAGGCACGACCGGAACGUGCCGAUCUGGCUCAGGAACGUUUAACUCCAAACGAACGUGAGUCCGAACCAUCAGGAGGUACCAUUCGGGAGACCAGUCAUCGUCAGCCCAAUACUGCCCGAUCGUCUUGCCGAAAUGGUCCUAGGGCCCAGCUCCCCCAAGAGCGUCCUCAAGGGUGGGGACAGUAGGUUCAAGAAUCAAUAUUAUUCCUUUUAGGAAUAUCAAGUCAUUCAUUUCAAGAAUCAAGUCAAUCAUUCACAAGAUAAGUCAUGAUCACGAUAAUCGAACAUCAAGUCUCAGGAUAAUGAACAUGUUCGAGAAUUCAGUUCAAGCCAAGGAGAGAAUAUUCAUGAAUAUGAGAGUCAAGAAGAACCAUAAGUUCAAUAUCGGAUUCCAAGAACGAGUAUAUCAAUAUCUCAAUGAAUUCAAUAAACAUGAGAUUCAAGUUCGAGCCAACGAAAUAUUUAUUCUCGGAAAGCAUUCAAGACAAGAUUUUGAGAAUAAAUAUAGUUCAAUAUCGAUUCAAGGAAAAUGUUCAGGCCAAGGAAUCAAGUAUAGGAAUUAGCCGUGAACAGAGCAACCAAGAGAAUUGACAAGUUCAAGAUUUCAAGAACAAGAUCAAGGUUCCAAGUUCGAGCCAAGAAAACAAUAUGCUCGCAAAACAUUAAGGAUCAUAUUUCAAGAACAAAUAUAAUGAAGGUAUCGAAGGCUUCAAUAUGUACAAAAUAUUCGGUUCAAAGAAAGGAGAUAUUAUGCGCAGGAAAGAAAUUGGAUAAGGAGUCAUAGUUUCUCACUUGGAGUCCAACGCUAGUGCUAUAGAAGCAUCUUUAAGCUUAAACCUUGAGUGAGAGCUUUACUACGCUCAACACCUAUGCAAAUAUUAGAACUAAAUAAGAUUCCAAACAGUAAUAUAGCCAUAUUACUAUCCACUAUAUGACACAUUCAAUUUCUUAAACAUAUACUAAGAAUUGCUUCUCGUGGCACUUUAUUCAAAUAAUCACUGCGAUCGUCGUACUUAUCCGAAUGACCUAAACGAUAUAUAAAGUUAAAUAUAACAUCUGUAUCUACAAGUUUCUUGAAGACACACAGCCCAAAUUAUGAUCCCAACAUAUCGAAAACAGUCCCGCAAGAAGAUACUCAAAACUGCCCUGUUUCCGGCAGAUUACUGUCAUCGGAUUCGGACCUCUAAAACAUGCAUAUUACAUACUCUAAUUCGAUACAAUUGAACACUUACUUAUAUUUUACGAUGUCCUCUACGAGUUUCCUGAAGGAACCGAUUCCAAAUUCGCAUUCAAAACCCUUCGAUUUCGGCUCAGAAAAUAGGUGCGGCAGAAGAUUUUAUUUCCCCAAAAUCCCAGCGGGCUGGCUGACUUCUCCUCAAACUCCGGCGACCACCGGCGGUGCAAACCCUCGAGAACCACCACCAGUAGAGUGCCAAAUUCAUUAGAUUUAUAACGAUGGAUCCUGAUUAACGAGGUUCAAUCUCAAAGGCCUCUAAACAAUUAUUUCUUUGAAGGCCUAACCGCUGAAAUUCGAAUUAUAAGUGACAACUUGUCUUCUUCGCCGGAUUCCGGCCACGACCUUAUUUGCUGGAAAUAGAACACCAUCUCAGCCCCGUAUCUUUCAACCAUGUUGCUAUUAUGAGAUUUCUAGAUUUACUAAUUGAACAUCGGAAGAACAAAGGUUCUAAAGGGUGGUCGGCCGAGAGUUUUCGUAGAGAAAGGAAGAUACCAUGAAUAUUGCUAUUUCUAGAACUAUUAAACGAAUGAGAUAAAGAUUGUGUAAUUGGGAAAAGAGAGAGUCGGCAAUAAGUUGAGAUAGAAGUGAAUAUGAGAUAAAC